RNAcentral lists this transfer RNA (79 nucleotides) under Sandarakinorhabdus sp. Its description in RNAcentral is "tRNA-Gly". The record is from RNAcentral. Lineage: Bacteria; Pseudomonadati; Pseudomonadota; Alphaproteobacteria; Sphingomonadales; Sphingosinicellaceae.
GGACGAGGGGCCAGGAAUUCGGCACCGUCACCGGUCGCCCGCGCCGAUGCGGCUGGUUCGAUGCCGCCCUCGUCCGCCA